CGGAUUGCAGUCUGCAACUCGACUGCAUGAAGCUGGAAUCGCUAGUAAUCGCGAAUCAGAAUGUCGCGGUGAAUACGUUCCCGGGCCUUGUACACACCGCCCGUCACACCAUGGGAGUUGGAAGCACCCGAAGUCGGUGACCUGACCGAAAGGGAGGAGCCGCCGAAGGUGAAGCCAGCGACUGGGGUGAAGUCGUAACAAGGUACC
RNAcentral lists this ribosomal RNA (207 nucleotides) under uncultured bacterium. RNAcentral's name for it is "partial 16S ribosomal RNA". It matches the Rfam family "Bacterial small subunit ribosomal RNA", at positions 1294 to 1500 of the family's 1533-position model. The record is from RNAcentral.